GUAAGCGUUGUUCGGAAUUACUGGGCGUAAAGGGUCUGUAGGUGGCUUGCUAAGUCAGACGUGAAAUCCCUCAGCUUAACUGGGGAACUGCGUCUGAGACUGGCGAGCUUGAGUGCAGGAGAGGAACGCGGAAUUCCAGGUGUAGCGGUGAAAUGCGUAGAUAUCUGGAGGAACACCGGUGGCGAAGGCGGCGUUCUGGACUGCAACUGACACUGAGGCACGAAAGCGAGGGGAGCAAACAGG
This 243-nucleotide ribosomal RNA is filed under the name uncultured bacterium. Its description in RNAcentral is "partial 16S ribosomal RNA". It matches the Rfam family "Bacterial small subunit ribosomal RNA", at positions 534 to 776 of the family's 1533-position model. The record is from RNAcentral.